Molecule: long non-coding RNA, 1821 nt
Organism: Serinus canaria (Common canary)
Lineage: Eukaryota; Metazoa; Chordata; Aves; Passeriformes; Fringillidae
Exons: 4
Source: RefSeq, a predicted model, not a curated record
GGGGUGGUCGAUCUCCAGUGCCUUUGGGAGCACGGAGGUUUGAGUAAUUUGGGAUGACUUGCUGGGCUGGGCGGAUAACUCUCAUGCAAGGUCCAGGAACAGGAGGAAGUGGUUGCGAUGGCUCAGCAAAAUGUUGGGGAGGAUAAAGAAUGAAAACAAAGCUUUGAUGGAAUACUCCAAUUCCAGGAGCCAACACUAAAGAAAAAAAAACCCUCCAAGUAACCCCAUAAUUACAAGAUUCCUGAUGAAAUGGAAGACAGGUGAUGCCACCCAGAUCUCCUGCUCACACCCAGCUGCUGCUGGCCAUGGCCAUUCCUGAAGGGAGAGCAUAAAUGAAGGGGAGCAAAUUCUUCUGCAGAUAGUUCCUGUGUACUUUGGCUGAAUCCCUUAAGCUCCCCGGUGCUGCUGAUAUCCAUCUGCAGGAUGGGAGUAAGUGGAUGCAGAAUCUGCAAGCUGCUGUGAGGAUGCACGUGCUGAGAUCCCAAGGAAUGCUGUUGCCAUGGGGUGAGAUGAAUGUAAGUAUGCAAGAGCACUUGCUCUAAGUGCAGCUUUCUCUACAGAAACACUAGACACAACUUUCCUCAAAAAAUCCCAGAGGGAAAUCCUUACAGGAGGAGCAAGUGCAAAUGUGGGAACUGGUUUGGGUCUACAACUUAAAUAAGCACUGCCAAGGAAAUCCAAGCUUCAGAGUUUCGCACUUCACCGUGAGAAAUUUCAGCUGCUGUCAUCACGGACGCUGACCCUCUCCCCUGGGUACCUUCCACAGCAAAGACUAAGGCAACAUGUCACACUCCUAGCCCAGACUUUUAGCUCUCUAGGGCAGGUAAUUCUUAUUUUUAUGACUUCUGGAAAAAUUAGAAAAAUAAGAAGGAAACAAUGUUCCUCUGGCUAUAUGGUUGCUCUCAUUUUCUGAAGCCAUGGCAGGAAAAUCUACACGUGCCAGGAGAACAUACUUCAAAUCCUGUCUGCAUGGCAAACUUCACAUUCUCUUUUGCAGCCCUAAUGCUGCUUCACUGGACAAUCCAUGGUGCAAAGGCUAGAGCAGAGCUGAUAUUUUUUGCCUUUUUAGUGUAGACAUUGAUAUAUAUGUUGAAGAAAUGCUGGACAGUAAGUAGUAAGAAACCAGAAGGGUGACACCCUCUAGCAGGAUCCAAACAGGCAUCUCAGAUAUAGGCAGUUUUCUAAGCUUUGUGAAAUAUGAAAACAUCUACAAUUAUCUUCAGUAUCCUUAAAAAUGUGAUUGUUUUCCAGAUGCUACUUCCUACCCAAUUCUGGUGCUGAUAAAACUCUCACAGGCACUUAAGAACCCCCAGUUUGGGAUAUCCCAUGGCCGUGGGACAUCCAAAACUCCUGUCACAAAACUGGAGCUGGCUCAGUGGGGUGGGAUGGGGGGAUUACUCUGAGAAGCAUCAAUUUCCUCAGCCUGCUUUCCUACAGCUUCAUGCUUUACAUUGAAGACUCUGGUUCCUAAAGAGCCCCAGGUAUUUCACAGGGCUGAUGUCUCUCCCCUCCCUAGCCUGCUCCUAGCCUGCUCUGCGGCGCGAGGGCUGCACGGUGCGUGGGCGGCGGGAGGCUGAGGGAAGCCUGCGGGACCUGACGUGUCUCCCUCAGCUGGCGUGAGAACAGCCUCGCUCACUUGCAGUCAUGAAACGUGCAGAAAUGUGUGUAUCUUUCAGACAUGUACCCUCUGCCAAACUUCAAAAGCCACUGCUGGGGGUGGGGGGCACUGACAGGCACGAACAGCAUAAUUGCACACGCCUUGCUUCCUGCUUUAGGAAAAGAGAAAGAAAACUCCAUUGGAAAAUAAAAAAAUUAAAAAUA